GACGAACGCUGGCGGCGUGCUUAACACAUGCAAGUCGAACGGAAAGGCCCUGCUUUUGUGGGCUGCUCGAUUGGCGAACAGGUGAGUAACAGGGGAGUAACCUGCCCUUGCCUUUGUGAUAACUUCAGGAAACUAGGGCUAAUACCGGCUAGUAGCGCCUGCUGCAUGUUGUGGGUUGGUAAGUUUCGGCGGGUUGGGAUGGACUCGCGGCUUAUCAGCUUGUUGGUGGGGUAGUGGCUUGCCAAGGCUUUGACGGGUAGCCGGCCUGAGAGGGUGACCGGCCACAUUGGGACUGAGAUACGGGCCAGACUCCUACGUGAGGCAGCGGUGGGGAAUAUUGCACAAUGGGCGGAAGCCUGAUGCAGCAACGCCGCGUGCGGGAUGACGGCCUUCGGGUUGUAAACCGCUUUCGCGUGUGACGAAGCGUGAGUGACGGUAAUGGGUAAAGAAGCACCGGCUAACUACGUG
This 468-nucleotide ribosomal RNA is filed under the name uncultured bacterium. Its description in RNAcentral is "partial 16S ribosomal RNA". It matches the Rfam family "Bacterial small subunit ribosomal RNA", at positions 28 to 507 of the family's 1533-position model. The record is from RNAcentral.